Molecule: non-coding RNA, 87 nt
Organism: Aneurinibacillus migulanus
Lineage: Bacteria; Bacillati; Bacillota; Bacilli; Caryophanales; Paenibacillaceae
Source: Rfam
ACAUCGAAAAGGCAAACUCAUCGAAAGAUGGGGACGCAAAGCCACGGGUCUAAGGGUUUUUAGAACUAUGACAGCCGGGUCGCCGAA